RNAcentral lists this transfer RNA (69 nucleotides) under Ictidomys tridecemlineatus (thirteen-lined ground squirrel). RNAcentral describes it as "Spermophilus tridecemlineatus (thirteen-lined ground squirrel) tRNA". It matches the Rfam family "tRNA". From Rfam's summary of the family: Transfer RNA (tRNA) molecules are approximately 80 nucleotides in length. Their secondary structure includes four short double-helical elements and three loops (D, anti-codon, and T loops). Lineage: Eukaryota; Metazoa; Chordata; Mammalia; Rodentia; Sciuridae. The record is from Rfam by way of RNAcentral.
GGGGUUGUGGCUCAGUGGUAGAGCACUCACCUAGUCCGCGUGAGGCCCUGGGUUCAAUCCUCAGCACCA